Xyrichtys novacula (pearly razorfish) is the source of this 679-nucleotide non-coding RNA. The record is from the annotation of a GenBank genome assembly. NCBI's taxonomy places the organism in Eukaryota, Metazoa, Chordata, Actinopteri, Labriformes, Labridae.
UGAACCAACUCCCGAGUCUCUAGGACGUUCCUAAAAAAAAUUUGAUUUUUUCCAUAGGAAUGCAUGGGUCAGGGUUAGGGUUAGGGUUGGAGCUAGGGUUAGGGUUAGGGUUAUGGUUGGGCUUGGAGCUAGGAUUUUUCUGAGUGCAAUGAACCAACUCCCGAGUCUCUAGGACGUUCCUAAAAAAAUUUGAUUUUUUCCCAUAGGAAUGCAUGGGUUAGGGUUAGGGUUAGGGUUGGAGCUAGGGUUAGGGUUAGGGUUAGGGUUGGAGUUAGGGUUAGUGUUGGAGCUAGGGUUAUGAUUGGGCUUGGAGCUAGGAUCUUUCUGAGUGCAAUGAACCAACUCCCGAGUCUCUAGGACAUUCCUAAAAAAAUUUGAUUUUUUCCCAUAGGAAUGCAUGGGUUAGGGUUAGGGUUAGGGUUAGGGUUGGAGCUAGGGUUAGGGUUAGGGUUAGGGUUGGAGUUAGGGUUAGUGUUGGAGCUAGGGUUAGGGUUGGGCUUGGAGCUAGGAUUUUUCUGAGUGCAAUGAACCAACUCCCGAGUCUCUAGGACGUUCCUAAAAAAAUUUGAUUUUUUCCCAUAGGAAUGCAUGGGUUAGGGUUAGGGUUAAGGUUGGAGCUAGGGUUAGGGUUAGGGUUAGGGUUGGAGUUAGGGUUAGUGUUGGAGCUAGGGUUAUGGUU